Long non-coding RNA from Homo sapiens (human), 390 nucleotides. NCBI's taxonomy places the organism in Eukaryota, Metazoa, Chordata, Mammalia, Primates, Hominidae. The record is from Ensembl.
CGCUCCGCCCCGGAGGCGGCGGGCAGGCAGCACUGCCUUCUCCAGCGUCCAGACCCUGGAGGAAAAAUACCAGGAGAAACUGCUCACUCAGCUCUGCCCCCACCACACCCCUACCUGCUCAACUCAUGCCUGGGUCCAGGGUGGGUGAGGGUGAAGAACCCACCGGGCCAAGAUGAUCCCUUUUCUGAGGGCUGCUGCUGGUGUCCUCCCCCAGAUCCUGGGCCCCAGCAGGUGGGAGAGUGGCCCCCUACGGAGUCCGAUCAGACUGCUGCAGAGGAGGUGAAGAGGGGUUGAGAAGAGGCAUCCAUCCACGAGACUGAAGCCACUUGCCUUCACCCUUGUAGACUCUUGACUGUUCUAGGCGAGAAGGACCUGUUGGUGGCCUUUGGA